RNAcentral lists this ribosomal RNA (497 nucleotides) under uncultured bacterium. Its description in RNAcentral is "partial 16S ribosomal RNA". It matches the Rfam family "Bacterial small subunit ribosomal RNA", at positions 28 to 507 of the family's 1533-position model. The record is from RNAcentral.
GACGAACGCUGGCGGCGUGCCUAAUACAUGCAAGUCGAGCGGACAGACGGGAGCUUGCUCCCUGUUGUUAGCGGCGGACGGGUGAGUAACACGUGGGUAACCUGCCUGUAAGACUGGGAUAACUCCUGGAAACCGGGGCUAAUACCGGAUGGUUUUCUGAACCGCAUGGUUCAGACAUAAAAGGUGGCUUCGUCUACCACUUACAGAAGGACCCGCGGCGCAUUAGCUAGUUGGUGAGGUAACGGCUCACCAAGGCAACGAUGCGUAGCCGACCUGAGAGGGUGAUCGGCCACACUGGGACUGAGACACGGCCCAGACUCCUACGGGAGGCAGCAGUAGGGAAUCUUCCGCAAUGGACGAAAGUCUGACGGAGCAACGCCGCGUGAGUGAUGAAGGUUUUCGGAUCGUAAAGCUCUGUUGUUAGGGAAGAACAAGUGCCGUUCAAAUAGGGCGGCACCUUGACGGUACCUAACCAGAAAGCCACGGCUAACUACGUG